This 253-nucleotide ribosomal RNA is filed under the name uncultured bacterium. RNAcentral describes it as "partial 16S ribosomal RNA". It matches the Rfam family "Bacterial small subunit ribosomal RNA", at positions 524 to 776 of the family's 1533-position model. The record is from RNAcentral.
UACGGGGGGGGCAAGCGUUGUUCGGGAUUACUGGGCGUAAAGGGCUCGUAGGCGGCCAACUAAGUCAGACGUGAAAUCCCUCGGCUUAACCGGGGAACUGCGUCUGAUACUGGAUGGCUUGAGUUUGGGAGAGGGAUGCGGAAUUCCAGGUGUAGCGGUGAAAUGCGUAGAUAUCGGCAGGAACACCCAGGGGGAAACCAGUCGACUGGGCAUCUACUGACGCUGAGGUGCGAGAGCGUGGGGAGCGAACCGG